UAACUAGUACAAGUGACUUCCAAUCAUUUAGUUCUGGAACUAACCCAGAAGAGA
RNAcentral lists this transfer RNA (54 nucleotides) under Marmota menzbieri (Menzbier's marmot). RNAcentral's name for it is "partial tRNA-Gly". The record is from RNAcentral. Lineage: Eukaryota; Metazoa; Chordata; Mammalia; Rodentia; Sciuridae.